GACAUUUUUCUGUUUUUGCGUCCAGGUUCAUUUGAGGCCCUGACAGAGCAUUUGGACAUUGAAAGGGAUAUCCAGAAUUGUCAAAUUGGUAUCAUUUGAUCAUUUCUGCCAUUUGUCCUGAUUUGUCUAUCGUAUUAUCAUUGGACCAUACCAAACAGUUCGCCCGGGUCAAUCAUGCACUGGUCAUCGAGUCGUAACAAUUGAACUACAUAUCGUUACAAUCUCGAUACAGUUCAGAGACAACUUAGCUUUUCAGGCUAUUUUCGAAAGAUUCCUCAGGUUUCCGGGCAGACUGUAACAGAUUCAUCACUACAACAAGAACAUAGCGGAACCAAGCCAUUUCAGCACAAGCAGAGAUAUAUGCUCCCAUCAGUAUUAUCACUGUGAAUUACAGAAUGGCAACCAGUACAAGAUGGGUUCAGAACAUUGCCAGAAACAUCGAACAGAAUCGACUCCCUUAACAGUGGCUUACAUUUUUUGAUGCUUUCUGCCAUUUGUCCUGAUUUGUCCAUCGUAUUAUCAUUGGACCAUACCAAACAGUUCGCCCGGGUCAAUCAUGCACUGGUCAUCGAGUCGUAACAAUUGAACUACAUACCGUUACAAUCUCAAUACAGUUCAGAGACAACUUAGCCAUUCAGGCUAUUUUCGAAAGAUUCCUCAGGUUUCCGGGCAGACUGUAACAGAUUCAUCACUACAACAAGAACAUAGCGGAACCAAGCCAUUUCAGCACAAGCAGAGAUAUAUGCUCCCAUCAGUAUUAUCACUGUGAAUUACAGAAUGGCAACCAGUACAAGAAGGGUUCAGAACAUUGCCAGAAAUAUCUAACAGAAUCGACUCCCAUAACAGUGGCUUACAUUUUUUGCUACUUUCUACCGAAUAUGGGAAUCGAAUCACAUAGAUGUCUGAUUAGAAUUCCGAACCCUGAAACACUCUUGUCGUUCUUUGUGUCGUAUUUGCAUAUCUCCGUCGAAGACCCUAUCUACCCCCUCUGCUUCAAAACUGAGCUACAGGCAUCACUCCACAUAACAGAAACAUAAAAGCCGUGUAUAUCCCCCUUCCAGAUUACACUCUCCCUAUAUCAAGACUUUGUUCCUGUUAACAACAAGAAUGUGUUCUGUAUUACUUUGCAUGAUAUCAAAAAGAGUACAUGUCGAAUGCUAGUUCAAUCAAGAAGCCACACAGUCGAUAGAACUAAUAUGAUUGAUUCAGAAAAUCCAUCUAAGAUUAGUUCCACGAACA
RNAcentral lists this long non-coding RNA (1239 nucleotides) under Linum usitatissimum (flax). Its description in RNAcentral is "long non-coding RNA (LUSI_LNC003274)". Lineage: Eukaryota; Viridiplantae; Streptophyta; Magnoliopsida; Malpighiales; Linaceae. The record is from RNAcentral.